The submitters of this non-coding RNA (90 nucleotides) gave its source as unclassified sequences. The record is from Rfam.
UUGAGUCGGAAUCAAUAUGACGGAGUCAUAUUUCGGAAUGAUUCCGACAAUCUGCCCCACUCGAUGGAGGAGAGAGGGGCGUUACCAAAG